Long non-coding RNA from Acinonyx jubatus (cheetah), 4406 nucleotides. RefSeq lists it as uncharacterized. The record is from RefSeq and is a predicted model, not a curated record. The transcript has 10 exons. NCBI's taxonomy places the organism in Eukaryota, Metazoa, Chordata, Mammalia, Carnivora, Felidae.
CUCUCUCUCUCUCUCUCUCUCAAAAAUAAAUAGACAUUAAAAAAAACACAGUUCUUCCCUUUUACAAAUAUUUAUAUAUCACUAAAUCAGAAAAUGCUACACCCUCAGGCAUGCUCCCAGCAAACGAGGCUUUGGCAGAUUGUUGACACCAGUUUGCAAAGAAAUGUCUACACUGUGAGUAAAUCACUAACUUUUCCAUCUUCUUGAUGCUUCCACAAUUCAAGAAAUGUUAAAAUGUUUACUAUCUUUUCUGUCUUUAAUUUCUAUCGACGAGAAAAAGAUGAAACACGAAGGACUAGAGUUCCACGGCUGACCAAGGUUGGCAAGGUCACGGAGGAAACCUAGAACGCACGCGCGCCCCCGAGAUCUGGGGCCACAGGUGCGCCAAGGUCCCGACGAUCAGGCCUCCGCCAGCUGCUUCAGCUCAGCGAACACGUUUGGAGCCAGAGAAAACCACACACACAGAAGAAGCCUAGACUCAAGGACAAGACGGUCACAACAAGCACACGCACCAAAAGCUACUUUUUACUGAAAGGAACCAAGGCUCUUAGAAGGAACGCCGUUCUGAGGCAGGCACAGUACAAGACGAUCCUGAGACAUCGGUGUUGUGGUCCAAAAUAAGGACGUUGCCAAGACCAAGGGGGCUGUGUCCGGGGGCCGGUCUGGAGGAGACCCCGCCAUUGGAACAAAGCAGGUGCUUGAACUGCUGUAUGUGUGUGAUGACAGGAAAACGGAAGAAAGUCUUACUGGUCUCCUCGUAGGUUCCCAAUUAUUCUGAAAAUUUAUAAAGAGAAAAGUGUCAUGUAUAUUUCAAAAAUACAACUUUCAAAUAUACUUUCCUCUACACACUGUAUUUCGGGUUAGAAAGUAGCAACAGAGGAAUUACAGCUGAUCAGUGCAGAACAACAAAAUCAAAAUGGACAGCCAUCGUUUGCAACCACUAAUGAACACAUGAGUACUGUGGGAACCUGAGCCGGCCGGACAUGUGGCCUGGGGAGAGAAAGACAGACGAAAGUGUCAUAUGCUGAGAGAGCUUAAGAGACUAACAGCCAGAUGCGCCAUGGAGACCUUGAGUGGAGCCUAUUGGAACAAAAACAACUGUAGCAGCCCGCUGGCAGACACCUGAAGCACGCAGAGUGAGGCCUUCUUCAGGCAGCUCCUGGCUGCCCUACUCCCUUGGUGUUUGCGUUUUAUUAAAGACUGAAAAUAACUUUACCUCAAGGUCCUGAAAGCCUUGCUUCCAGAUUCCUUAGAAACUUACUUUAUCUCUAUCGCCCUCCCUCCACAAACCUAAAGGUGUAUAAUCAGUCCCCCCUCACAACCCCGGGGCAGCUCUUUCUGCCCCCGGGUCCCGUCCCCGUGCUUUAGUAAAACCACCUUUUCGCACCGAAGACAUCUCAAGAAUUCUUUCUUAGCCGUUUGCUCAAGAACCCCAUCAGGGGGGAACAGAGAGAACAAAACUGGCUCAAUGUGAUAUGGGAGGCUGGUGACAGAGCCUCGGGGACUGUUGUGUGCCUACCGCUACCGUUGUGUGUGUUUGGAAAUCUCUGCGACGGAAAGCUUGAAGAGAGAACACACAAUUGAAUUUGGCCCUCUCAGCCAAAAAGGAUGAAAGGAAGAAAGAAAAGAAGGGAAGAAAGGGAAAGAGGAGAGAGUGCCUGAGUGCGCACAGGGUGACCCAGAGGGCUCGCCUCUCCCGGCGUGCAGAGUCCGCGGGAAUGACACCGCCAGGCAGGAGGGGCCGCGGCCAGGCCAGUAGCAUGACCAAAUCUUGCCCCUUCUGCCGCCUUUGUGCAGUCCCCACAUCAGUCAUCCGGGACUGGUUCCUCGCCUCCGGCUGUGUUACUGAGGUGUGUUUCUCAUUGCGAAAUCCAGCUGGAGAAACCCGUCUUCCAGAGACCUGUACACUUUAUGAGCCCCGCACUGGUGGGUGAUGCUCUUUGCCAAGACUUACAGUCAAUUCCAGGGCUCUCGGGGGAAAUCUGAACCCCUUACAAGAGGAGGAAUGUUUGUCCAGUUUCCUUCGGUUGAUCCCGUUCGGAUUCACUAGCCAUCAGCCUAAAAUCAGGGCUGGGAUGUGGAUUCUCACGGGUUCUGGGGAGGGUCACGAACCUGAAAUCACUUCCAUUCCAGAAGCACCCAUCCACAGCAUGACCGAAAAAGCUGAUGGGGACGUGAGUUUGCCUUUCGUCUUCUCUCUUCCUCUCCUUUCCUGCAGGUGCAGGAUGUCUGGAGAAGUGGGAGAUGGGAGCUGGGAAUGUACAGAUAUGGGUGCGGGACAGCCACGGUGUUGUCUACACAGGGUGCCAUCACCCUAGAGACCUCUGGGACCCACGGGACUUUAGGAGAGCCUUUUCUUCCCCUCCACGGCCCCAGUGCCUCUCCCGUUCUCAAUUUCACUGGGAAACAUAUCCCCGAAAGCACAGACUAACCUGAGAAGAUUCUCUGCUGGUUUACUUUUAUUAUUAACCCUUUUAUGAGAACUUUUAAGAUCUACUCUUGUGGCAACUUUUAAACGUACAGCACAGUUAUUAUUAACUACCGUCAAUCACCAUGCUGCCUGCCACACCCAGGACCUACUCAUUUCAUAACUGGAAGUGUGUGCCUUUCAACCCCUUCACUGAUUCCACCCGCCCCCACUCCUCCGUGUCUACGGGUCUGCUUUUUGUUUUGUGUGGCCGCACACCAAAGAAGUUCUCAGAUACUGGAUGGAGCGGACGUGCGGGCAUGCUUCCACCAGUGAAACAGCUGCAGCAGCAAACUGCACAGUCUUUAUUUCAUAUUUUCUUAGAUAUGAGUAUCAAAGGAUAUCAAAGCAUGGGUAGGGAACACAAAGGAUCUUUAGACAUUAACCAGACAUGCACCUGCUGGCUACGUGAAGGGAGUACGUGUAGUUUCAAGGAGUGUCAGGGGGUCACAGCGGAUUUUGUAUCUAAUUGUCCUCUGCGGUGUCACGGGGCUCUGUUCUCAGAGUGCUAUCGCGCUCGACAGCCUUGGGACCAGAACAUCGCUGACGUUUCAGCUGUCACCCCGUUCACCCUCCGGGACUUACAAUACCCUCUCUAGCAAUGACUCCACAGUUUUAUCGUUGCUGGUGUUUUAGAUCCCACAACUGGCGAAUAUGAUCAAGGGGAGAGGGGCACACGCAUCUGGACUCCAUCCACAAAAGUCUGACUAAGACAUUUGAGGCUGAUAAUGGUCCUUGCCUGGCGUGGGCGUCGAGAUGACGACUGUGGACCUGGCUCUCGGCCACGGCUCCUGGAAUAGACCCGGCCUGUACCCUCACCGACACACCUUCUGCAAUCACAUGAACCCUCCUCCCGGACCCUCACCAGACCCUCCUCCUGGACCCUCCACGGACCCUGGUACCACAUGAAAAAAUAGUUCCUGAUGACGUGAUUCUCCUGCUGGUGAAUAAUCUCUCCUGACAGAAAUGGCACACUGGGUGACUUGGGGAGCUGCCACUCUACUGGCCGCAAGCGGCAAAGAGAGGAGAGCAUGAGUGGGAGAGGAGCAGAAGGCGAAAGAGAAUCUUCAGGAGGCUUCAUGUCCAGCAAGGAGCCUACCCAACACAGGGCUCGAUCUCACGACCUGGGAUCAUGACCUGAGCUACAAUCAAGACUUGAACACUCAGCCGACUGAGCUUCCCAGAAGUGCCAUGGUGACGUUCCAGCUCACGGAGGAGGCUCAGUGUAGCACCCACACCCAAGACGUAAAAUAAGUCAUGUCCUGGGCAGGACCAUCCUCAUGCCCAACAUGAGAGAGAAGCAACAUGGUGUGACUUCCUCUCCUUCCUCUCUUCUCCCACUCUCCCACCUUCCUCACCCCUCCUCAAAGGAAAAUUAUGCAGAAGGAGACCGUAGGCAAAGUGAGUCAGCACUGCCGCAGAGGGAGGGAGCCCUGCUCGGUAAGACCCCUGGGAGGAAAGCACAGCCUUGCUGUGGGUCUUAUCAAGGAGGACCCUGAUUCUCACAAACUACCAGUCCAAAGAAGCAACAGGAAACAAGAACAGAGCUGUGGGCGCCAUGCUGUGGUAACAGAAGAAGGCAGUUUCUCUGGAGCCACGCUGCCCUCUGUGGGGCCGAGGCAACCAGCGGAACCACAAGCAAAGAUUCGCCAGUAGGAACUUGUGUGCGGGGCUGCUGUUGGUGAGAUGACGUAAGUUAUAAUGAUGUUGCUAAGCUUUUUUACAAUGUGUGCAAAAUUGGGAAAAAUGAUGGGCACACGUUGGAAAUGUUGUGGAUCUGGUUCCAGUCCAUUGGGGUAAAGUGAAUAUUGAAAUAAAGAGAGUCAAGUGAACUUUUUGCUUUCCUGGUGCACAUAAAGUUAUGUUUACACCGUACUGUAGUCUGUGAAAUGGGCAAUAGCAUUAUGUCUAACGACACAGUGUUCGUAGCUUAAUUUAA